This 550-nucleotide long non-coding RNA is filed under the name Elaeis guineensis (African oil palm). RNAcentral describes it as "long non-coding RNA (EGUI_LNC054500)". Lineage: Eukaryota; Viridiplantae; Streptophyta; Magnoliopsida; Arecales; Arecaceae. The record is from RNAcentral.
UUCCAUUGCCAUAAUGCAGAUUUAGAUAAAACUCUCUAACCAAGUCUACAUAUGUAACUUCCUUGAGAGAACAGUAAAAACCCCAACCUUGAUUUUUGAUCUUUGAUCCAAAGGUGAAACCCUCUUUUUCGAAAAACCUGAAGUCCACAUUCUUGCCGGUUUCUACCUUUCUGUCAGAAAGAGGGAUUUUGCCAGGGCUAAGGGGAGAUUGAGAGGGACCUGGAGAAGACACUGAAGCCGGAAUGGAAGCAGUGGAGGUCUGAGCAGCUUGCCUUUUUCUGCGGACACUUUCUUCCAGCUCACGGACUGAUUUUCUUCUUUGAGGGAGUUUCAUCUUUGGGGCCAUUCUUCACCACAAGAGCCGGCAGAGAGACUCGGAAGAUCAAAUGGGUGAGGAGAAGGAGGGUUACUAGAGAGUGGAAAGGGAUUUUGGCUGAGAGGAAAGAUGAUUUAGAGAAGAACGGUGGAAGCUAGGGCACGCUCCAACCGCUUCAAUCAAGGGAGAAAGAUGCGAGAAGCUCCUUUUCCAAGGGGUGAUUUGAGGUGGAGA